Molecule: RNA transcript, 3633 nt
Organism: Vollenhovia emeryi
Lineage: Eukaryota; Metazoa; Arthropoda; Insecta; Hymenoptera; Formicidae
Exons: 5
Source: RefSeq, a predicted model, not a curated record
UUCUUUCAUUUAUUAAACUGGGACACGAUACUUUUAUCCAAUCUACACGAGGUACGAUCACGUGAUUUCCACCCUCGCAAGCGUGCAUCCGUUCCCUGAGCCUCUCACCGCUAAGUCCUCUCACCCUGCGUCCACCAGCAGCGGUAACCGCAGCGAACUCGCCUCGCGGGAUUCGCGAACAAUUACCGAUAUAUGACUAUAUUGUAUUAUAGAGUGCUGUUACACAGAGUGCUUAAUCGGGUUUAAUAAGUGUACAUGUGGUCUCGGGGCGAAGAAAGAAAGAGCAGAUGCGUCUAUAAGCUCUUCUAGCCGGCAGAAGUUGGCCGAACCGCCGGGCGCACACGUACGCGGCUGCUCGCUUGUGUGAGUUAUCCCCUCACCGACCACAGCGCCCUGCAAAAGUAGCGGAGUUUGCAUCACUGCUUACCGGUUGUCUGCGCCAUGUUCUCGUUCCUGGUCGUUCCUGUGUCUGCCAUGUGCCGCUUCACGAGGAUGCUUUGUUAAUCCCAGUUUUUCCGUUAAAUCGACAGGUACGUCAUAUGUAUGUAUUCAUUGAUUAAAAGUAGAUUUGGGGACAAUUAUGUCACGCAAAGAUUUCUGUGAUUUGUCUCAACGGCAAAAACGACGAAUUGUAUUGCAGGAAAGUGAUAUAUCCCUUUAUCGGUCUCAAAAGAUUAAAAAAAUCUGCACAAAGGAAAAAAAUAAUGCAAACAUUAAUAACUGUAAUUCAGAAAAUGAGAGUGCAAAUAUUAAUUGUUCUAAUUCGGAUAUGAGUUCCAUUGAAGAUAAUUUUAAUGAAGAUGAAUCAUUGUCAGAUGCAACUGAUAAUGAAUCAUUGUCAGAUGCAACUGACAAUGAUUUUCAGAGCUUAUCAUCAGAAGACGCUUUAAAUACUGAAAAAUCUUUACUUGAUGAAUUAAGAUCUUGGGUAAUUAAACACAAAAUUAGUCAGAGUGCGGUAAAUGAUAUGUUACGAAUUUUGUUAAGAAAGAAUAUAAGCGUUCCAGUCAAUUGUAGGACAUUGAUGAAAACUCCACGUGAUACAUUGUUACUAAUAAGACAAAUGGAUGACGGAAAAUACAUUCAUUUAGGAUUUGAAGAAGGUUUGAGACAUUCGAUUAAAAAAUACUUUCAACCUUUAUGUCCAGCAGAAUUGAAAAUAAAUAUAAAUAUCGAUGGCCUACCUAUUUCAAAAAGUUCUGGUAGUCAAUUUUGGCCAAUUUUAGGUGCUAUAGUUGCAGAUUUCUACACUGAACCAUUUGUUAUUGGCAUUUAUCAUGGUAAUGCAAAACCAAAAGAUGUUGAUGUUUUUCUAAAUCCAUUUGUAAAAGAAGUAAAACCCAUUCUUGAUAACGGAUUGAAUAUUAAUGAAAUAAUUAUUUGUAUUACAUUAAAUGCUAUUAUAUGCGAUGCUCCAGCUAAAUCGUUUAUUUGUGGAAUUAAAGGUCACACAGGUUAUUUUAGUUGCACAAAGUGUAUACAAGAAGGUGAAUUUAUCAACAACAAAGUCGUAUUUUUAGAACAAAAUUCAACCUUGAGGACGGAUCAUUCAUUUCAAACUAGACAGCAUGAAGAACAUCACAUUGAAAAAUAUUUAAGUCAAGCAACUUCUUUAGAAACGUUAAACAUUGGAAUGAUUUCAGCCGUGCCAUUAGAUUGCAUGCAUCUAAUUUUUCUUGGUGUUAAUAAAACAAUGCUUCGAUUUUGGAUUAAAGGUGCGAGAAAUAUACGAUUGACUUCUGUUUUAUUAGAUCAAGCCCAACAACGUAAUAAUAAAUUGAAAAUGUGCAUACCCAUUGAAUUCGCACGUCGUCCAAGAGAUUUGUUAGAUACAGAUCGGUGGAAAGCAACCGAACAUAAGCUUUUUGUACUGUAUACGGGAAUAAUUAUAAUGAAAAAAAUACUACCUAAAAAACUAUAUAUACACUUUGUCUGUCUGUGUGUUGCUGUAAGAAUUGUAUCGGAUAAACAAUAUAAGCAUCUGAUUGAUUAUGCACAAUCUGUUAUUGAAUACUUUGUUAACAAAUUCCGUCAGUAUUAUGGAGAUCAAUAUUUAUCACACAAUGUGCAUAAUUUAGUACACAUAUGUGAAGAUGUUAAACGGUUUGGAACCAUUGAUUCUUAUUCUGCCUUUAAAUUUGAAAACUACUUGUAUACAAUAAAAAGAUCGUUAAAAGUUAGUCGAAAACCUUUGGAACAGAUAGUUAACAGAAUUAUAGAAAAAAGAAAUGUUGAGGAAAGUUUUUCAAAUUUAUCAAAAAAUUAUCCGAUAAUUCAUUACAGUAAAAGCAGAACAAAAAUCAAUAGGGUUGAGUUUGAUGGAUUUAUCUUGUCAUCCAAAAGUCCCAAUAACUGUUGUAUUCUUUCAAGCGGUACAAUUACAACAGUGAAUGAUAUUUAUAUAAAAAAUAAUAUUCUAUACUUUACUGUAAGACAACAUCUAUCUAUUAAAUCUUUCUUUGAUUCUCCAUGCGAUUCAACGGUGGUAGGAAUUUAUGAGUUAUCUGAAAGUGAAGCAGAUUUAUCACAUGCUACUGUUACAGCUGAUCAAAUUUUACGUAAAUGUUUAAAAGUAGAUAAUAUUAUGUCUUCUGAUGAUAAUUCAAGUAUAGUUAUUAGCUUAUUGCAUUAAAUCCAUAAAGAUAGCAAAUAAUGUUAAUGUUUGAUUACAUUAACGUUUCUUAUUUGUACUACUCAUGUCCUUUGUGUGAUUUAUUAUAUGAUGAAAUAUAUAUAUAUAUACAUACAUACAUGACUGUACUGAAGAUAUUACAUACUGGGCACUAGAAUGAGUUUUCCCUACGCCGUUGUACUAUUUCCUCAAGAAGGGACAUACUCCGAAAUUCUGACCUCAUGGCUAACAGAAGAUAAUAAUAAGUGUAGAUGGCCACGAACCAGGAAUGUUACCUUCUUUUUGAAAAAAAACAGUCCACCACAUGAGGACUGGUUACUUUUUGAUGUAAAAGUGCAAUGUUACUGUGAAACUUUAGAAAAAGCACGAAAAAAAGCAGAAGAUGCGAAUUACGUAACUUCUAAUGACGAAAGUACAGGGCGUGGGAAAAGAAUCAUACAUGAAAAACAAUUUGACGAUAUGUAUGAUACUUGCGACGGUAAUACGGAUAACGAUAGCGAUGUACCUCCGCAGUUACAUAAGACUGAUAAUAAGAAGAGGGUAACAAAAGAUAAAUAUUCGGAUACAUCAGUAAAAAAAUAUAAGUGCGUCAAACAAUUGUCACAAAUUGCCGACAAAAGUUCUACGCCAAACCGUUCACGUCUAUGUAGCAAAUCACAAACACAACAGAUUAAUUUAGUACGUGAGGAACUUUCUGAUAAUAAUAAUGAAUUGGUAGUACCUAAAUCUCAGGAAAUUAAUAUACAAGGUAAGAGUUCAACGUUAUUUUAUUAUUGAUUUUAUUAAUGAUAUUUUUGGUACUAGAUAAGCAAAACUGCCGAACUAUAUUACAUAAUAUUUGCUGUAAAUUUUUUCUCCAGCUUGCUAGAAAUACAAGAGAUGUUAUCCAGCAAGACACAGAUUGGCGACACAGUGUAAAACAGAAUUAUUUCAUCCUUGUUUAAUAAUGGCAAACAACAAAGAUAAAACGAUUCACUGUGUUAAGCCCGCUGCAGACGAUG